RNAcentral lists this ribosomal RNA (297 nucleotides) under uncultured bacterium. RNAcentral describes it as "partial 16S ribosomal RNA". It matches the Rfam family "Bacterial small subunit ribosomal RNA", at positions 32 to 309 of the family's 1533-position model. The record is from RNAcentral.
AAUCAACGCUGGCGGCGUGCCUCAGACAUGCAAGUCGAACGCGAAAUUUCCCUUCGGGGAGAAAGUAGAGUGGCGCACGGGUGAGUAACACGUGGGUAAUUUACCUUCGGGUGGGAUAACAGUCGGAAACGACUGCUAAUACCGCAUGAUGCAGCGGCACCACAUGGUGACAGUUGUUAAAGCGGGGAUCGCAAGACCUCGCGCCUGAAGAGAAGCCCGCGGCAGAUUAGCUAGUUGGCAAGGUAAUGGCUUACCAAGGCAACGAUCUGUAGCCGGCCUGAGGAGGGCGGGUCGGCC